Long non-coding RNA from Betta splendens (Siamese fighting fish), 1778 nucleotides. RefSeq lists it as uncharacterized. The record is from RefSeq and is a predicted model, not a curated record. The transcript is spliced from 2 exons. Lineage: Eukaryota; Metazoa; Chordata; Actinopteri; Anabantiformes; Osphronemidae.
GCUGCAUUCUUGCCUCUCCCCGGAUGGGUCUUUAUGUGGCGGAGGAGCCGCGAGACCGUCCCCGCGGCACCAGUCGACUCACGGGCGGAAAGAAAAGGGGCGAGCGAGGCUCACGCUACGACCACAGCAUGAUGAGAGCAGAGGAGCGGAGGCUUGAAGGCUUCCAGGUUGUGGGUUCGCGAUGAACGGGCGCGCGGACGUGCGAGCGGCGAGGAAGGCGGACGGGUCCGGACUCUGACAAAUUGCGCUGCAGGGAAACAGGAAUUUAAAAGACGGUCACGUGAGCCUCCUCGUAUUGUCAAGCACCCCUCCUCCUUUCCCUCCCCCUCCUUACCACAUACGGCCUCACACACUUAAAUGUACUUAAUGCAACCGAAAGUUACUAUAACUAUAGCAGUGGUCAUAUUUUCAUCAUUAUCAUCAUCAUCAUCAUCAUCAUCAUCAUCAUCAUCAUCAUCAUCAUCAUUACAUACACCUGCUGUUCACUCCUAACACAUGUUCAUUUCUCAGCAGGUAAAACACGAGCAACCACAACUUAAUCGCCAUGGAAACCUCACAUCUUCAUCUCCAUAGCUACUGUUUAGAAGGAGUGACACAUCGCAGCAGAGGCUGCGAGAGAUAAUCUCCCGACAUGCUGCUCCGACACACGCCCAGCGUGAACGCGACCUGCAGCGUCGCCAGUGCAUCAGUGCGAACAUACUCACUGCUGAGGCGGCCCCGCACACACACACACACACACACACACACACACACACACACACACAAACGGGUGCAUCUUCAAGCCACGUUGCAUCUCUGUCACCAUCAGCCACGCGAACAAGGUGUGAAAAACUGCAAAGACAAAUGUGACAGCAGCAGUGUUAUAUUAUACAUUGAUAUAUAGUGUGUGACUGCAGUAUGAGUUCAAACAUGUGUAUAUUAAUCCCUGAUCCCUGUUGUCUGAGCCAACGUUUUUCUGACGCGUGUCUGACCGUUUCGUGUUCAAGCUGCUUUUUGCACCAGACACGGUGUGGUUUUCUGUCUGUCACCAGCUAUUCUCGCUUCAGGAUGUCACAGACGGUCGAUUUCCUAAAAGCGUCACAAACCCGGACGGUGUCACAAAGUAGAGGCCGAUUGCGUUUCACCUGAGGGUUCAGGAAGGCCAGGAAUUCUGGAGGUUCCGGAGUUCCAGUAACCAGUUAGGAGACGAUGUGACGUGGAUACAUUCAGCAAAUGAGGGACUCAUCCAAUCACUCAUGUUACUCAUGCACCUGAGGGACUCUCGGAGUCUUCACACGCGAUGGAGCCUUUGGAGACGGAUAGACAUGCAGCAGCACGUGUCAUCAGCUGGAUAACCUGCAGCUGCAGGUAGAAAGGUAAGGUAGAAAGCUAAGGUAAAGCUAAGGGAGAAAUGCAAUAAGUGCUCAUCCUGCUGUUCUUCAUAUUCUUCUCCAGUUAUAUUUACUUUCAUUAUUUAUUCUAACUUCAAUUCAACACUGUGACGCGUCUCAGUGGGGUAAAAUCCUACAAGGCUUCUCAUGUGCGACUGCCCUGAGGACCUUCCCUCAUACGCAUGCGUUUUUCAACAUACCUGUAGCAUGUUAGUGCAGCAGAGCUCGAAUUACUGUUAGAGGAUGGGCACAUCUCAGCUGAUCUGCUCGUGUUGUAUAGGAAACCGAUGAACUGCACAGAUUAAAUGUCACCGGCAGUAAAGCUGAAGCUGCAGGAUGUAUUCAGCUUUUUUCACUCCUAGUUACAGUGUGUUUUGUUUAUUUUGCAAAUAAAUUCAUUCAUUUGUU